Hydra vulgaris (swiftwater hydra) is the source of this 341-nucleotide long non-coding RNA. RefSeq lists it as uncharacterized. The record is from RefSeq and is a predicted model, not a curated record. Lineage: Eukaryota; Metazoa; Cnidaria; Hydrozoa; Anthoathecata; Hydridae.
AUUAUGUACAAAAAAGUCAUUGCAAUAAAUCUCAAGUUAUUAAAGUCGGUGAACAAAUAAGUACUGACAAUUCUUUGACUGGAGUGGAAGAUGUUAGUGUCUUGAACCAACAUGAAACAAGUGAACUUAGCUGAGAAUAAUGGUAGUUUAAAAAUAAUGCAGCAUUGGCUAGGAUUGUUCUUAGGUCACAAAAACAACCUUACAAAAGUUUUUGCUGUUGUCGCUGGUUUUAGAGAGUACUUUCGUGAAUGAAGAUAAAAAGUCAUUUAUGUUAUUUUUUAAAAGCCAAGACAUAAUAUUGUUAAUCCUCAUACCAAUUACUAAAAAACUUUAUAAAUAUU